Molecule: ribosomal RNA, 219 nt
Filed under: uncultured bacterium
Lineage: Bacteria
Description: partial 16S ribosomal RNA
Rfam family: Bacterial small subunit ribosomal RNA
Source: RNAcentral
GCAAGUCGAGCGAAUCUUCGGAGUUAGUGGCGGACGGGUUAGUAACGCGUGGGAAUAUGCCCCUGGGUACGGAACUACAGCUGGAAACGGCUGCUAAUACCGUAUGAUUACUUCGGACCAAAGAUUUAUCGCCCAGGGAUUAGUCCGCGUUGGAUUAGCUAGUUGGCAAGGUAACGGCUCACCAAGGCGACGAUGCAUAGCUGGUCUGAGAGGAUGAUC